GGAACAUAAUUUAGUGGUAGAGCCUCUGCUUUGCGUGCAGAAGAUGCCAGGUUCAAUCCCUGGCUUCUCCA
Podarcis lilfordi (Lilford's wall lizard) is the source of this 71-nucleotide non-coding RNA. The record is from the annotation of a GenBank genome assembly. NCBI's taxonomy places the organism in Eukaryota, Metazoa, Chordata, Lepidosauria, Squamata, Lacertidae.